This 407-nucleotide ribosomal RNA is filed under the name uncultured bacterium. RNAcentral's name for it is "partial 16S ribosomal RNA". It matches the Rfam family "Bacterial small subunit ribosomal RNA", at positions 30 to 526 of the family's 1533-position model. The record is from RNAcentral.
AUUGAACGCUGGCGGCAGGCCUAACACAUGCAAGUCGAGCGGAGCGGCGGACGGGUGAGUAAUGCCUAGGAAUCUGCCUGGUAGUGGGGGAUAACGUCCGGAAACGGGCGCUAAUACCGCAUCCAUUCAGUUAAGCCUAGGUCGGUUUAGCAAGUUGGUGGGGUAAAGGCCCACCAAGCCGACGAUCCGUAACUGGUCUGAGAGGAUGAUCAGUCAAACUGGAACUGAGACACGGUCCAGACUCCUACGGGAGGCAGCAGUGGGGAAUAUUGGACAAUGGGCGAAAGCCUGAGCCAGCCAGGCCGCGUGUGUGAAGAAGGUCUUCGGAUUGUAAAGCACUUUAAGUUGGGAGGCGUUACCAACAGAAUAAGCACCGGCUAACUUCGUGCCAGCAGCCGCGGUAAUAC